CUGCAGCCAGUUAAGGUGAAGGUGCUUUGUUCCCCAUGGGCCUGGUGUGCAAUGGCUGCAAACAGCAGCCUCCACCUUGGCCAGGUCAUCAUGUUCAUAUGCAGUA
RNAcentral lists this small nucleolar RNA (106 nucleotides) under Erinaceus europaeus (western European hedgehog). RNAcentral describes it as "Small nucleolar RNA SNORA70". It matches the Rfam family "Small nucleolar RNA SNORA70". Rfam says of the family: snoRNA U70 seems to be exclusive to mammals and is a member of the H/ACA class of snoRNA which contain H (ANANNA) and ACA box motifs. H/ACA box snoRNAs are involved in the conversion of uridines to pseudouridines (5-ribosyluracil) a constituent of structural RNAs (transfer, ribosomal, small nuclear, and small nucleolar). The record is from Rfam by way of RNAcentral. Lineage: Eukaryota; Metazoa; Chordata; Mammalia; Eulipotyphla; Erinaceidae.